Molecule: ribosomal RNA, 253 nt
Filed under: uncultured bacterium
Lineage: Bacteria
Description: partial 16S ribosomal RNA
Rfam family: Bacterial small subunit ribosomal RNA
Source: RNAcentral
UACAGAGGGUGCGAGCGUUAAUCGGAAUUACUGGGCGUAAAGCGCACGUAGGUGGCGACGUAAGUCGGGUGUGAAAUCCCACGGCUCAACCGUGGAAGUGCACUCGAAACUGCGCAGCUAGAGUCUCGGAGAGGAAGGCGGAAUGCUUGGUGUAGAGGUGAAAUUCGUAGAUAUCAAGCGGAACACCGGUGGCGAAGGCGGCCUUCUGGACGAUGACUGACGCUGAAGUGCGAAAGCGUGGGGAGCAAACAGG